This 78-nucleotide transfer RNA is filed under the name Candidatus Heimdallarchaeota archaeon. RNAcentral describes it as "tRNA-Arg". It matches the Rfam family "tRNA". Rfam says of the family: Transfer RNA (tRNA) molecules are approximately 80 nucleotides in length. Their secondary structure includes four short double-helical elements and three loops (D, anti-codon, and T loops). Further hydrogen bonds mediate the characteristic L-shaped molecular structure. tRNAs have two regions of fundamental functional importance: the anti-codon, which is responsible for specific mRNA codon recognition, and the 3' end, to which the tRNAs corresponding amino acid is attached (by aminoacyl-tRNA synthetases). tRNAs cope with the degeneracy of the genetic code in two manners: having more than one tRNA (with a specific anti-codon) for a particular amino acid; and 'wobble' base-pairing, i.e. permitting non-standard base-pairing at the 3rd anti-codon position. The record is from RNAcentral. Lineage: Archaea; Promethearchaeati; Candidatus Heimdallarchaeota.
GGACGCGUAACUCAGCUUGGACAGAGUGUCUGCCUCCUAAGCAGGAUGUCGAGGGUUCAAAUCCCUUCGCGUCCGCCA